CUGGGUCUUUUCUUGCAUCAGUGCUGCUUGCGUACUGCUCGAGAGAAAGAGACCAUAAAAAGGCUUUCGAAUAUAUACUAUAUGAACUUCUUUACAUUCGAGUAUGCGCAAAUAUUUGAUACUUGCAUGGUCAAAUGUAGGCUUUAAUUUAUGGGUACAGCAGAACUCAAUAAUGUUUGUCAAAAAAUUCUCUGUAUGUAUCACGAAAUUCACUAAGUAUAUACAU
This 226-nucleotide long non-coding RNA is filed under the name Nicotiana benthamiana. RNAcentral's name for it is "long non-coding RNA (NBEN_LNC000773)". The record is from RNAcentral. Lineage: Eukaryota; Viridiplantae; Streptophyta; Magnoliopsida; Solanales; Solanaceae.